RNAcentral lists this long non-coding RNA (205 nucleotides) under Lathyrus oleraceus (garden pea). Its description in RNAcentral is "Pisum sativum (pea) long non-coding RNA (PSAT_LNC029489)". The record is from RNAcentral. Lineage: Eukaryota; Viridiplantae; Streptophyta; Magnoliopsida; Fabales; Fabaceae.
GGCGAUCCAAAAUAUGAGGUUCCUUGUAGAUAGGAGUAGAGAUAGCAGCAAUUACAGUAGUUAUUUGCUGGGAAGAGGUUGAAUGUUGUUCCGUUGAUUCCAUUUGUUGAGAAAAGUUGUAUAUAGACUGUUGUUGAGAAUCCAUGUAGAAGAUGAAGACUGCUUGAAGAACACUUGAAGAAGCUUGAAGGUUGAGAGAUAUUAG